AAAAAAAUUCAUAAAUUUGACUGUCAUACAAGUUCUCAUAAAAUUUGACAUCCAUUACAUUGUAUCAUGACAUCACAAUUAAAGUGCUUUUAGCAUGACCUCUAGUUUAUUCAUUUACAGAUCUUGAGAUCAUUUUGAGACAAAAUUCAGUUGAAUAGCAAAAGUGUAAAUACAUGUAUGAGGGGGAGGACAGGGGUAAGGGAGACAGGGAGGAAGGGUGUAGGAGAAAGGAGAAAGGGUGUAGGAGAAAGGAGAAAGGGUGUAGGAGAAAGGAGAAAGGGGGUAGGAGAAAGGAGAGGAAGGCUGGGAGAAAGAGAAAAAGUUGGAGAAAAAAAAAAAUAAAAUAUGAAAAAAUAAAAUAUCUCUCUUUUUUGUGGUAAAUUAAAGAAAAUAAAAUAAUCAUUAAAAAAAAAUCAUUUAACAACAGAUAUUAGCUCAGCAC
Molecule: long non-coding RNA, 442 nt
Filed under: Mytilus galloprovincialis (Mediterranean mussel)
Lineage: Eukaryota; Metazoa; Mollusca; Bivalvia; Mytilida; Mytilidae
Source: RNAcentral